RNAcentral lists this long non-coding RNA (2399 nucleotides) under Daucus carota (carrot). RNAcentral describes it as "long non-coding RNA (DCAR_LNC006110)". Lineage: Eukaryota; Viridiplantae; Streptophyta; Magnoliopsida; Apiales; Apiaceae. The record is from RNAcentral.
UUCAAAGGUAAAAAAUAAGUGACAGAUGUAUUACAUUAUCAUUUUUAGAACUAAGAAAAAUGAUAGAGGAAUAAAUUACUAGUUGUAUGUCAAAAAGUUGUAAAAUAUAUGUGGCCCUGCCCACAUUCAAAAUUAAUUGGAACAAAAAGUCUUUGACUGUAAAAAAUCUGAAGCUUGGUGUGUUUUAAUGCUAUAUACAGCAAGUUGAUUUGCCAAAUAUGAUAGUUAUGAUCUAUUUACCAGUUUAGUACAUUUCGCUUACCAUCAUAUAAGUAAUUUACUUGAUACAUCUUACACUUGUAUCUGUGGUUGCUUGUGUAUAAAUAUAAUUUCAGGUAACUUGGUUGAUGUUAUGUAAUGGCAAAUCUUCAAGGAUUAUCUACUGUGACAGCAUGCCAAAGUCUUUACUGGACCGAAACAGCAAGCUGAGAUGCACCAGCCAGAAGCUGUUCAAAUUCAGUUUAUAACUUGAAGAUUUCUUGAAGAUCGUUUUGAUCAAUCAGAAAUUGGCUAGGAUUAACUCUGUAAGGAAUCUAAUAUAGAAUAUAUUGUUUACAUAAUUAAUAGAGCUUAACUGAUUCUCAAAUCUAUUCCUAUUUUAUUGGGAUUAUGAUAUGGGUCUUUCUAGUGUGUGCCCAUGGGCACACAUUAUACACUAUAUUUGAUGAGUUUGGUAGAUUUUAAUUGGUGGACUUGGUGUAAAUGCAGGGGGGUCAUCCUUAUUUAUGAUUAUAUGACCAAUAAAAAUGCACCAAACUCGUAGGAGUUGGUGCUUAUUGUGUGCCCAUGGGCACACAACAAAAAAACCGUUAUGAUAUACCUUUCCUUAUUAAUUUUAAACAGAUUUGUAUCAUCUUUUUUAUAUUUGAGGCUUUCCGAGACAGCCCAAAUUUGUUCAUAUCUUUUUCUAGCUUUAGGGAAUGAUUCAUGCAAUCAAAUAUUUUCUAUUCCCACAAAUGAAUCAACUUAGAACUAGCUUUUUCUAGCUUUUGGGGAAUGAUUUAUGCAAUCAAAUAUUUUCUAUUCCUACAAAUCAUCAACUUACGACUAGUCAUUUGUAUCCUUUCACAUGGAUAACACUUACAACCUUUCUUGUAAGCAACACACAUUCAUACAAGUUUUGAGACUCAACAUACAAGCUUUAUCUUUUCUCUCUCAAACACAUUCAAACACAAACUCUAGAACUAUAUUGUUCAUACAUAUAUUAUUAAAGAGAAUUCAUAUAGUUUGAGUUGUAAGCAUCUAUUGAUUAAAGUUGUAUUGAAAGUUUUAAAAUAGUGGCAAAGAGUUCUAUGUCAAGGAGCUGGGUGCUUAAGGAGCUCAUAGUUCUAAACACAUUGGUGUUAAACUAAUUAAGGAAUUCAAGGAGUGGGACUCGAGAAAUUCAAAGGUUCAGGAGGAACAAGCUUUUUAGUAAGUUGUGGGCUCGAGGUGGAUUUAGUGUCAACAAUCCAUUUUCAGAAACUGGAUUAAAAAGGAGAUAUAUUAUUGAAUUUGUGAAUGGUAUUUUUCAUUGAUCAAUAAUGUAUUCUCUUACCGGGUCGCAAGGGACCAGGACGUAGACCAUCAGUUAUUAGGUGUCGAACCUUAGUUAUUAGGGGUUGAUCAUGGCUAAAACUCAUUUAUCUUCUUUAUUAUUUGUCAUCUUUUAAUAUAUAGCAUCGUAAUAGCUUAUUGUUAUUACCUGUUACUCAAAUGAGCAAGCUCUUUGCAUACUGUUCUCAGGUCAACAAGUAAAUUUUUAAUAUUGUGGCAUACAUGUGACUUGCAAAUUAUUUACUAGAGCUACAAGAAAUCACGAAUUAUUUACCAUAUAACACCCAACAAUAUUGUAAUUCAGCAGUUAAAAGGAUGAACUAACCCCUGCAUUGACAAAUUAUGUACCUCUCCUUUUCCGUAUAUGAUUCCCGAAGUCCACAUGAUCUGAUCUCCUGACUCACGUCUGUCAGGAUCUAAGGAAUCUUUCUGUUUCUUCAGCCAACACUAAAAUACAGAGAAGCAGCGAAAGAACAGAAUUAGGUAAUAUGUUUACUAAGUGCCUAUUCAUAUUAGCACUGAAACCAAAAAAAAAAUAAACAGAAUGAGGUAGUCAUGUCUAUGAAGUGCCUAUUUAUAUAAAUAACUUAUGUUUUACCUGCUAAACAUUGAAAGAAAAAUAUAUGAUUUCCUGCCUUACAGACUUACAAUUUCCUUUUGGGAAGCUCCCUACAUCCAAAUACUCUGCUGCAUUAUUCCUAAUAGACUAAGUGUGAGGGGAUAAUUAAUUGAACUGUUCAUUAAAAUUGUUGCUACAAAUUCAAAACUCUAAGGAAACUUCAAUUUUGGCCUUCGACAUGUAGCUCAAAAAUACAUAUAUCUUCACGGUGCAGCGCAAGACUGGCACCACAGUUCAUCCUGGG